Sorex araneus (European shrew) is the source of this 534-nucleotide long non-coding RNA. RefSeq lists it as uncharacterized. The record is from RefSeq and is a predicted model, not a curated record. The transcript has 3 exons. NCBI's taxonomy places the organism in Eukaryota, Metazoa, Chordata, Mammalia, Eulipotyphla, Soricidae.
CGGUGAAAGACAGUGAUUUACUGCUUCGGGGGGCAUGCGUGUGGAUGAUUAAGGGAUGUAAGUUCAGGACUCCAAGAUUUAUUUCCUCCCUGUUCCAGUGGGGAUGGCGGAAGAGAAUGAGUAAUGGGAUAACUUAUAGCACCACAGGCCCUUCGUCAAGAGACCGCCAGUCAAAACAGGAAGAUAAAAUUCAGAAGAUUUCUACAGGGAGAAAGCCAUAUUGAUACUCCCUGGGCCGUCCUCUGUCUGGCAAGCAUUAGGGUCUCCAGAAGGUUCCUCUGUGACCUUUGCAAGGAGAGUUUCCACCCAAAAGGUUUCCCAGACACUCAAGUAAUGGAGCAUCAGACGGAUGAGGAACUGGAUGCGGAACCCAGAAGGCUAGACCACAGGCAGAGGGUAUCCUUCCUGAAGAUGCCUGGCUGAACACAGUCUCCUCCCUGGGACAUCCCGGAAAACAUCCCCUUGUCCACUGCUGAGCCUUCUGUCACCCAUCCCUCUAGCUGACCUCAAAAAAGAAGUAUAUGGCCACCAAUG